Molecule: long non-coding RNA, 2223 nt
Organism: Herpailurus yagouaroundi (jaguarundi)
Lineage: Eukaryota; Metazoa; Chordata; Mammalia; Carnivora; Felidae
Exons: 2
Source: RefSeq, a predicted model, not a curated record
AGGUAAGCAGUUUUCCUUGAUAGCCUUGACAGUAAAUGGUGGCAGGUAGGUUGGAUGAUGAGCCUAAGAGAUACUCAGCUGACGGAGAGCUAUCACCGGGAAGUCGUCACGAAUGGUUCUGGAACUGCCCGCCACCCCCGUGGACAGCUGAAACCGUACUCGGUAUCUUCGAGCACGGACGGUGCAUCCAAAACUAACGUUAGUAUUCCAUGUCCUACGAGACAGCUUUUCUUUUUGACUCUCCUGCUUUGCCGAUGGCAUCAUCAGCAGCAGAUCCCUAAGUCGGAAACCCAAGAUGCUGGCGAGCCUGGCCUUCUACGCCCCCUCCACCGCGGCCCCUCAGCUCCCAAGUCCGCCUCGCAUGGGCACACUUCUGCCAUUCACCUCUUCCUUUAUUUUCCCCAGGACCGCGGUUUACAUCCUGACCACCGCUUGUCCGAAUGUAGGAAGUUCCCGAAUUAACUGUCGGUGCUUUGGAAUCAGGCAAAACUAGGUCCAGCCCCAGGUUCUAUAACCGUUAGCUGUGUGGCCUUGGCUGAGUCACUCAACUUCUCUGGGCAUCAGUUUCCUGGUCUGUAACGGGACAAGAACUACUAUCUCUCAGGGUUGUGGGUAAGGUGAAAUGAAUUUGUUAGAUGGAUGCAGCCUAUAUCCUUGGGGCUCAGGAUUUAUUUAGUUUCUUUCAUGAUGGUUUAGAGAAGCAGGUCACCCUGACGUGAAAAGCAUCAAGGAGGAAAAUGUCAGAAACUGUCUCAUGCCCUCAUUCAGAACCUUCUCCCUUCGAACACACUGGGCAUCCUAUGGGGAUGCCCGGCUUUGACAAUGACCUAAAAGUCUGCCAUUUCCAGUGUCUUUGAGACUCUCGGUGGAUAUAGUGAAGAUCAGUGGUUUAGUUUCUUUCGGUUUGCAGCUUCCUGUUAGUAGCACGAAAGCAGGAAGAGAUUUCACUCUGCUUACAACACAUCACGGUAGCUUUGGUGUUUGUACAGAAAUACACAGCAUCGGGUGCCGCUUUUCAGUUCAGCAGAGACCCGAACUGUUUUCUACUUUCUCCAGUAAAGGGAACUAUGGUUAUUAGUCUCAAGGUGUGCUUUAGCUACCAGGAGCCCGGCAGCAGAGGGUCUCAGAGCGACUCCCCGAUUCUCCCGUGGUCAACCUGGCAGAGACCCCUUGCUGUGGAUGGACGUUUGCACCCCCGAGAAAUUCCCAUGUUGAAGCCUAAUCCCCAGGGUGAUGGAUUAGGAGGUGACACACAGCGAGAAGACAGCCACCGGAAGACCAGCAAGAGGGUCCUCGCCAGACAUCUCACCUGCUGGUGCUUUGGUCUUGGACAUACCAGCCGUUGGAGCUGUGAGAAGUAAAGGUAUGUUGUCACCCAGUCUAUUGGCGGUUGCUAGAGCAGCCUGGGCUGACCGAGACUGUCUCCGGUUUUCCCAGACACUCUCCACGUCAGCCGGCAUUGGAAUCGUUUGCACACACGCCUUUCCCGGACUGUAAACUUGGGGGAACGCUUGCCACAGUGGGGAAAGGAAACACCUGCUGGAUGUCCCACGAGCUGAGUAAAACCUAGAACAGCCGAGCCUGAGACGGAGCCAUUAACCUGAGUCGCUGGAUGCGGAUGGGAAACGUUUUUUCUUUGCUUUGUUGGCAACUCAGUUUUGCUAAUACGCUGGAUGCGCGAGUGUAGGCAUCUCAUGGGCUGAUCGUAUGGAGCCUGGGAACUCAUCUGGGGGACGGGGGGAUCCAAAUAAAGGAGACACGCUGGCGCCCUCCGCAACGGUGUCUCUAUGGGGUGAACUGGGCAAGAACCAGAUGGAGCCAAGGGUAGUGCUUAGUAACUACCCUCAACCUGCCACUCUGGGUCCGCUGCUGAGUUUGUUGGCAUAUAAUAAAUAAAAAUACUAAAUUCAUUUUAAAAUGAUUGUAAAAUCAAGUAGUUUUUACUUACAACAAAUAAAAUAAUUAAAUAGACUAAAAAGAGACUAAGAAUACAAAUGCUUUCUAAAAUUUUGAAAAGCACCAGUGCUCAUUCCAGGGUGAAGAAUAAAACCUCCCUGCCUCCUCCUGCUUCUCUGCUUCUUCCCUCCCCUGUAUUUUCUGGAGCAACGAAUUAUUUCCUGUCAAAGUGGUGCCAGCAAUGAGUAUCCAUCUACUUGAGAUUGUGAAUGAGAGCUCGUGGUUUGGUUUAUCACAGCAAUAAUAUAAUCCAAGCGUGAAUCUGAA